UGGCAUUUGUCUUCCCAAGUAACCUUUACGUGUGAUGGGGCCCUGCUGUCCUGGAGAUGGCUGAACACCUGCCUGCCCAUGGGAAGUAGUGAAUUCAUCCCUUAUUUUGCUUUGCUUGUCAAGGCAGUGAGAAGUGGCCUGAAGAGUAGAACACUGAUAUUUUCUUAAAUCAAGGAUUGUCCCGGAAGUUUCAUGUGCUGAAGUGCUCAGAAAGCAAAGCUCAGAGCAAGUGUCUGCAGUGAAGCAUCUGCAAAGAGGAAACUUCUGAACGGUUGCAGACCUCAGGAAUUCUGCAGGUGUAUUGAACUGCAGUGCUGCACACUUUCAGAAGUACAUUCAGUUAUGCUACAAAAACUUUUCUCUGUGUCUGGAUCAAUAAGGCUCAACAGAGUUUUAGUUAUUAAAGAGUUUCUAAUGUAA
Long non-coding RNA from Pseudopipra pipra, 420 nucleotides. RefSeq lists it as uncharacterized. Lineage: Eukaryota; Metazoa; Chordata; Aves; Passeriformes; Pipridae. The transcript is spliced from 3 exons. The record is from RefSeq and is a predicted model, not a curated record.